Molecule: long non-coding RNA, 529 nt
Organism: Erinaceus europaeus (western European hedgehog)
Lineage: Eukaryota; Metazoa; Chordata; Mammalia; Eulipotyphla; Erinaceidae
Exons: 4
Source: RefSeq, a predicted model, not a curated record
AAAGGGUGCUUGGCUGUGGCUGACUGAGGAGCCCCUUGAGGAAGAGAGCCACUGUGACAGGCCCUAACACCCAAGGAAAAGAGGAAGAAGAAGAGACAGGUGAGCCAAGAAGAGGGGGAGAAAGCAGACCAGCAAAAGGCCCAACAGUGACAGCUUCUGAGAGUCAGAACAGGCAGAGAAUGCUGACUCAUCUUCUGGAGACAUUUCAUCCAGUUCAAAGUGAGCACUAGGGCGGUGGGAAGAUCACCCUCGGGGCUCCCUCCGAACAUGCAGCUUGACGGUUCCAGAUGUCAUCAGGAUGCCGGCCAGGCUUCCCUGGACUGAAGACCCCACCAAUGUGUCCUGGAGCUCCUCCUCCCCAGAGACCCACCCUACUAGGGAAAGAGAGAGGCAGACUGGGAGUGUGGACCGACCAGUCAAUGCCCAUGUUCAGCGGGGAAACAAUUACAGAAGCCAGACCUUCCACCUUCUACAACCCACAAUGACCCUGGGUCCAUGCUCCCAGAGGGAUAGAGAAUGGGAAAGCUAU